GAAAGGCCACAGAAGUUCUCCCUCCAUAGGUAGGUGUAGCUCCAGGUCCUGGGUGAAGAAAAUAUUUGUGCAUGGCAACCUGCUGAUGCCAGGGAUUCCACAGCUCCAGCAGUAAGGUCCAAGAUUCUCUGCCUUUGAGGCUUAUCCCCCUCCUUGCUUCUACAUGUUGAAGGAGUAGGAAUUUUUGAGUUCUCCGCAAGCAGUAUUCCAACACACCAACCACCCCUUCUUUUGAUGCCCAAUUUUCCCUAAGCUACAGGAGAGCCAAGAGCAGUGACUAUUCCAAGACGAAAAUCUCACGACAACCUCAACAUGCUCUACUUCUCUAUAACACCACUGGGCCACAAGGAUCUUGCCCAGAAUCAACAGCAGAGGCCUUUUUCCUCAUCCAGGCCCCCAACCGAAAUUCCUAGUAAACGUAAGUAUAGUAUAAUUCUUCAAAAUGUACACCUGUCUAAGUUACCCAAACAUCUCUCUCUUAAAAUAAGAAAUGAAUGCUGCGUCUUUAUUUGAUACUCCAGAAACAAUAAAAAUCUUGUAACAAUAAUUCAUUUGCUAAUAUGCAGAAAACGUCCAUUUAAAAACUGUACUUUAGAGACAUAAAAAUAGUCUGCAAACUACUGACAACUGUCUGCUUUUCCUGCUUUUCCUCAGGGCUCUAAUAUUUAUUUGUUAUUUUUUAAUGUUAAUUUUUAAUUUUCUUUUCUUUUUCCAUUAUGGUUUAUUACAGGAUAUUGAAUAUAUUCCCUGUGCUAUACAAUAGGACCUUGUCGUUUAUCCAUUCUAUGUAUAAUAGUUUGCAUCUGCUAGUCGCAAACUCCCAAUCCAUCCCUCUCCAGAAUGUUACUCUUUAAAAUACUAGGGGCAACACAAGUUAUAGUAUUUCUAGGGUAUCAAGCCACUGAAACAAAACUGGAAUGGAACUUGACCCCUCCAAAGGAAAAAACAAAACAAACAAAAAACAUAUUAUUUAAAGGUUUUCAUUCUCUAACAUAUUUACAUACACAGGUCUAUUUUUGUAAUGAUAUUUUGAUCUAAAAUUAUUACAAAUCUUUAAGAAUGCCAGUUAAUAGGGCGAGUAAUACCUGAAUUUAGAAGCAAAUAAAAUCACAGUAUAUUCUUCUAGGAAGAAAAAAAAUGCAUUUUAAGAUAAAUUAACUGUCUUCAAACAUCUUGGACUGUCAUUGUUUAUUAAAUACCACAAUGCCCUCAGGUGUUUGUGUUUUUUUUAACAUUUUUCCAUCUAUUUUCUUUGAGAAGAAUUCAGAGAGAGAAUAACAACUUUCACCUGUAUCAUAGCUGACAUUUUUUUAAAGUACUUUCAUGUGCAUUAUUUCAUCUGAUUCUUCAACAGUUUCACUAGACUAUAGCUUCUUGAGGGCAAGGCCAUUUUUCAUAUUCUGCCAGUGCUUUGCAGAGAGCAGGCCAAUUUUUCCCUUAUGGUUAAAGCUAGGGUUUGCCUCCCCAGUUCUGCUCUCUGAAGCAUCACAAAGUUCAGUCCCUCUGCUAGUUGAAUCCAGCUAGCACACCCCCUUCUCCCCUACCAUCACGUCCUCUUUAUUCCUAAUUACAUAUCGCUAAGUAUUCUUAAACUCAAUACACCAUAUACAGUCUGAGUAACAUACCUAUUCUGAAUAAUAUACCAGUAAAUGCUGGCUAUGUCUGUAUAUUCUUUAGUCAAUCAUAUCCAUUGCUGACAAAUAUUGAG
Molecule: long non-coding RNA, 1708 nt
Filed under: Monodon monoceros (narwhal)
Lineage: Eukaryota; Metazoa; Chordata; Mammalia; Artiodactyla; Monodontidae
Description: lncRNA (ENSMMNG00015011990.1)
Source: RNAcentral